UUCGGGGGAGCUUUUGCUGAGAGUAGGUUUGACCUUGACCCUUUGACCUGAUGCGGGUAAUGCCGCCGUAGGGAAAUG
Molecule: non-coding RNA, 78 nt
Filed under: bovine gut metagenome
Source: RNAcentral